Molecule: long non-coding RNA, 1491 nt
Organism: Stegostoma tigrinum
Lineage: Eukaryota; Metazoa; Chordata; Chondrichthyes; Orectolobiformes; Stegostomatidae
Exons: 2
Source: RefSeq, a predicted model, not a curated record
UGGGGCUGGAGGGGAGUGUGGAGCGGACAAGGGAGUCACGGAGAGUGUGGUCCCUCCGGAAAGCAAAUAAGGAUGGGGAGAGAAAUUAUCAGUCUACUCCCAAUAAUCAGCGACGUGUUAGAAGAAGUAUCGUCAAACAGUUUUGGCAGGGAACUAGGAACGUUAAAAUUGAACCAUUGAUGGACCAGAAGCCAAUGUAGAUCAGAGGGCACAUCAAAAAUCAGAGGCGGAUUUAAAGUCAACAACAUAAAUGACUGUUCUAACAGUGCCUCGGAUACAGUACCAGCUAAUGAACAAGGAUUCCCUUUCAAGUUUUGGAACGAAAUUAAUUGUAAUUUUCUGUUUAUUCUGUAAAUAAAUGUCAGCGUCCAAAACCUGGAUUUAAAAUCAAUCAAUUAAAACUCUACAGUAGAUACUUCCUAUCAAUUGUUUGGCGAUGUUGCCAAUUACAGGAAGACCCGCCUAUUCGACCCUCAUUCGUCCAGUGUCAAGAAUAAUAUUGUCGUCAGUUAUUUAAUUAGACACUGAAAGCAUCAAUCACUUGACGCUGGAUGGAAACUUCGCCUUUGUGCUCAGCGGAGAGACAGAAGUGAAUUGCGUAUUAUAUUGGACGCAGGGAGACGCUUGUUUUGCUCACCCCUUACCUUCAUCAUAUGCGAUUGGUACUAAGGAGAGCAGCAGCAAGAAGGAUAGGCUCAUGUUGUGUGGCACCCGGUGCAGAGUAUUGCUGGUCCUGAGAUCUGGGCUUCCAUUCCGUGCAGUCCUGUUGGCCGCCUCCUGGGCAGUUUGCCAGCGACGUGCACUACUCGGAACUCACCGCUUCCUGUCAUCAUACAAAGGCGGAGCAAGGAGCUGCCACCACCUCUCCCUGGCGUUAAUUCACAGGAGACACAGGCUGUAGAAACCUACCUGCACCAUUCCUACAUCAGGAAGCAAAGCUGGGGGGAAAAAAAAGAUAAUUUUCCUUUCAGUCUGGCAAUCCCGGUAUUCCUACAAAUUCUGUCUGACCUACCUUUUACGAUAUUAUGCGUGAAAAUUUGUAAUUCCGCAAGCUGGCCGUAGACGGCACUCGCUUUUAACCUUCAAAUCGCUUCUUGAUUAUUUUAAGAACUGAAAAAUUAGGGAGGAAGCGCAUCUUUUGCCGUACGUAUAUUGAAUAUGUUUAUUGAAUUAUGUUUUGGUUUCAAAUUCAAGAUGAGCUCUCUGAAGCACGUCUGCUUCACUACCCAAGAGAUAGUCGGAGCUGCAGAAUCCAAGAUAGCAAAGUGUGAAGCUGAAUGAGCACAGCAGGCCCAGCGGCAGCACCCAGCCAGCCGACUUACAGCUCCUGACCAUUGUCUACCUGCAGUCGUAUUUGUUUUCAUAGCAUUGCACAAACUGGCAAUCUCCAGAAUGACAAGAGGCUAAUGUGAACCCCACAAAUUUUUAAGCUUCGGCUGGGCCCAAACCUUUGGAUUUCCUUCAUUAAACGUCUUGUUUUUCCUGCUUUAA